RNAcentral lists this ribosomal RNA (1092 nucleotides) under uncultured bacterium. Its description in RNAcentral is "bacterial SSU rRNA". It matches the Rfam family "Bacterial small subunit ribosomal RNA", at positions 400 to 1482 of the family's 1533-position model. The record is from RNAcentral.
UGUGAGCGACGAAGGCCUUAGGGUCGUUAAAGCUCUGUUGUUAGGGACGAAGGGCGAAGGGUUAAUAGCCCUUAGCCUGACGGUACCUUUCGAGGAAGCCCCGGCUAACUACGUGCCAGCAGCCGCGGUAAUACGUAGGGGGCGAGCGUUGUCCGGAAUUAUUGGGCGUAAAGGGCGCGUAGGCGGCCUGGUAAGUCUGCUGUGAAACCUUGGGGCUCAACCCCAAGCGUGCAGUGGAUACUGUCAGGCUAGAGGAUGGUAGAGGCCAGUGGAAUUCCCGGUGUAGCGGUGAAAUGCGCAGAUAUCGGGAGGAACACCAGUAGCGAAGGCGGCUGGCUGGGCCAUUCCUGACGCUGAGGCGCGAAAGCUAGGGGAGCGAACAGGAUUAGAUACCCUGGUAGUCCUAGCCGUAAACGAUGAACACUAGGUGUGGGGGGAGUCGAAUCCCUCCGUGCCGAAGCCAACGCGUUAAGUGUUCCGCCUGGGGAGUACGGCCGCAAGGCUAAAACUCAAAAGAAUUGACGGGGGCCCGCACAAGCAGCGGAGCGUGUUCUUUAAUUCGAUGCAACGCGAAGAACCUUACCUGGGCUUGACAUGGCACUGCAAGCGCACGGAAACGUGUGACCUUCGAGGGUGUGCCACAGAUGCUGCAUGGCUGUCGUCAGCUCGUGUCGUGAGAUGUUGGGUUAAGUCCCGCAACGAGCGCAACCCCUGUCGUGUGUUGCCAGCAUUAAGUUGGGGACUCACGCGAGACUGCCGGUGACAAACCGGAGGAAGGUGGGGAUGACGUCAAGUCAUCAUGGCUCUUACGUCCAGGGCUAGAAACGUGCUACAAUGGCGUACACAAAGGGCAGCAAGACCGCAAGGUGGAGCGAAUCUCAUCAAAGUACGUCUAAGUUCGGAUCGGGGUCUGCAAUUCGACCCCGUGAAGCUGGAGUUGCUAGUAAUCGCGGAUCAGAAUGCCGCGGUGAAUGCGUUCCCGGGCCUUGUACACACCGCCCGUCACACCACGGGAGUAGGCAAUACCCGAAGUCGGCGCAGCCAACCCUUCGCGGGAGGCGGUCGGCGAAGGUAGGGCUUGCGACUGGGGUG